UAUUCGGAAUGCGUAAGACUUGGCCGACAUAAAUCCGGUCGGGAUGGUCGAGCUUGUCGCGAUUGGCUUCAAAUAUGAACCGCCAGAAUUUCCCCGCGCCGUACUUGUCCUUAGCGAUGUCGCUCAGAGUGUCCCCCGUCCGCACGUCAUGGAGCGAAAAGUCGCCUUCCUUAAGCUCCGGUGCCAGCAGUCCAACAUCCGCUUCCGCCAGACCGUCGAGCGCGCUUGCGACCCGCUUGAGCGUCGUCGGACGAUAAGCCACCUUGUCCCUGAGAUUUUCCGGCUU
Molecule: unclassified non-coding RNA, 286 nt
Filed under: Hevea brasiliensis (rubber tree)
Lineage: Eukaryota; Viridiplantae; Streptophyta; Magnoliopsida; Malpighiales; Euphorbiaceae
Source: RNAcentral